This 1346-nucleotide ribosomal RNA is filed under the name uncultured bacterium. Its description in RNAcentral is "partial 16S ribosomal RNA". It matches the Rfam family "Bacterial small subunit ribosomal RNA", at positions 28 to 1381 of the family's 1533-position model. The record is from RNAcentral.
GACGAACGCUGGCGGCGUGCUUAACACAUGCAAGUCGAACGGAAAGGCCCUGCUUUUGUGGGGUGCUCGAGUGGCGAACGGGUGAGUAACACGUGAGUAACCUGCCCUUGACUUUGGGAUAACUUCAGGAAACUGGGGCUAAUACCGGAUAGGAGCUCCUGCUGCAUGGUGGGGGUUGGAAAGUUUCGGCGGUUGGGGAUGGACUCGCGGCUUAUCAGCUUGUUGGUGGGGUAGUGGCUUACCAAGGCUUUGACGGGUAGCCGGCCUGAGAGGGUGACCGACCACAUUGGGACUGAGAUACGGCCCAGACUCCUACGGGAGGCAGCAGUGGGGAAUAUUGCACAAUGGGCGGAAGCCUGAUGCAGCAACGCCGCGUGCGGGAUGACGGCCUUCGGGUUGUAAACCGCUUUCGCCUGUGACGAAGCGUGAGUGACGGUAAUGGGUAAAGAAGCACCGGCUAACUACGUGCCAGCAGCCGCGGUGAUACGUAGGGUGCGAGCGUUGUCCGGAUUUAUUGGGCGUAAAGGGCUCGUAGGUGGUUGAUCGCGUCGGAAGUGUAAUCUUGGGGCUUAACCCUGAGCGUGCUUUCGAUACGGGUUGACUUGAGGAAGGUAGGGGAGAAUGGAAUUCCUGGCGGAGCGGUGGAAUGCGCAGAUAUCAGGAGGAACACCAGUGGCGAAGGCGGUUCUCUGGGCCUUUCCUGACGCUGAGGAGCGAAAGCGUGGGGAGCGAACAGGCUUAGAUACCCCGGUAGUCCACGCUGUAAACGGUGGGUACUAGGUGUGGGGUCCAUUCCACGGGUUCCGUGCCGUAGCUAACGCUUUAAGUACCCCGCCUGGGGAGUACGGCCGCAAGGCUAAAACUCAAAGGAAUUGACGGGGCCCCGCACAAGCGGCGGAGCAUGCGGAUUAAUUCGAUGCAACGCGUAGAACCUUACCUGGGUUUGACAUGGAUCGGGAGUGCUCAGAGAUGGGUGUGCCUCUUUUGGGGUCGGUUCACAGGUGGUGCAUGGCUGUCGUCAGCUCGUGUCGUGAGAUGUUGGGUUAAGUCCCGCAACGAGCGCAACCCUUGUUCACUGUUGCCAGCACGUUAUGGUGGGGACUCAGUGGAGACCGCCGGGGUCAACUCGGAGGAAGGUGGGGAUGACGUCAAGUCAUCACGCCCCUUAUGUCCAGGGCUUCACGCAUGCUACAAUGGCUGGUACAGAGAGUGGCGAGCCUGUGAGGGUGAGCGAAUCUCGGAAAGCCGGUCUCAGUUCGGAUUGGGGUCUGCAACUCGACCUCAUGAAGUCGGAGUCGCUAGUAAUCGCAGAUCAGCAACGCUGCGGUGAAUACGUUCCCGGGGCU